AACGUAGGAGGCAAGCGUUAUCCGGAUUUACUGGGCGUAAAGCGCGUGCAGGCGGUUUGUUAAGUUGGAUGUGAAAGCUCCUGGCUCAACUGGGAGAGGUCGUUCAAAACUGGCAAACUUGAGGGCGGUAGAGGGAGGUGGAAUUCCGUGUGUAGUGGUGAAAUGCGUAGAUAUACGGAGGAACACCAGUGGCGAAAGCGACCUCCUGGACCGAUCCUGACGCUCAGACGCGAAAGCUAGGGGAGCAAACGGGAUUAGAGACCCCGGUAGUCCUAGCCGUAAACGAUGUGAACUUGGCGUCGGUGGGUUUAAAUCCAUCGGUGCCGUAGCUAACGCGAUAAGUUCACCGCCUGGGGACUACGGCCGCAAGGUUAAA
This 376-nucleotide ribosomal RNA is filed under the name uncultured bacterium. RNAcentral's name for it is "bacterial SSU rRNA". It matches the Rfam family "Bacterial small subunit ribosomal RNA", at positions 524 to 898 of the family's 1533-position model. The record is from RNAcentral.